UACGUAGGGCGCAAGCGUUAUCCGGAAUUAUUGGGCGUAAAGAGCUCGUAGGCGGUUUGUCGCGUCUGCCGUGAAAGUCUGGGGGCUCAACUCCGGAUCUGCGGUGGGUACGGGCAGACUAGAGUGAUGUAGGGGGAGACUGGAAUUCCUGGUGUAGCGGUGAAAUGCGCAGAUAUCAGGAGGAACACCGGUGGCGAAGGCGGGUCUCUGGGCAACAACUGACGCUGAGGAGCGAAAGCGUGGGGAGCGAACAGG
This 255-nucleotide ribosomal RNA is filed under the name uncultured bacterium. RNAcentral describes it as "partial 16S ribosomal RNA". It matches the Rfam family "Bacterial small subunit ribosomal RNA", at positions 524 to 776 of the family's 1533-position model. The record is from RNAcentral.